GACGAACGCUGGCGGCGUGCUUAACACAUGCAAGUCGAACGGAAAGGCCCUGCUUUUGUGGGGUGCUCGAGUGGCGAACGGGUGAGUAACACGUGAGUAACCUGCCCUUGACUUUGGGAUAACUUCAGGAAACUGGGGCUAAUACCGGAUAGGAGCUCCUGCUGCAUGGUGGGGGUUGGAAAGUUUCGGCGGUUGGGGAUGGACUCGCGGCUUAUCAGCUUGUUGGUGGGGUAGUGGCUUACCAAGGCUUUGACGGGUAGCCGGCCUGAGAGGGUGACCGGCCACAUUGGGACUGAGAUACGGCCCAGACUCCUACGGGAGGCAGCAGUGGGGAAUAUUGCACAAUGGGCGGAAGCCUGAUGCAGCAACGCCGCGUGCGGGAUGACGGCCUUCGGGUUGUAAACCGCUUUCGCCUGUGACGAAGCGUGAGUGACGGUAAUGGGUAAAGAAGCACCGGCUAACUACGUGCCAGCAGCCGCGGUGAUACGUAGGGUGCGAGCGUUGUCCGGAUUUAUUGGGCGUAAAGGGCUCGUAGGUGGUUGAUCGCGUCGGAAGUGUAAUCUUGGGGCUUAACCCUGAGCGUGCUUUCGAUACGGGUUGACUUGAGGAAGGUAGGGGAGAAUGGAAUUCCUGGUGGAGCGGUGGAAUGCGCAGAUAUCAGGAGGAACACCAGUGGCGAAGGCGGUUCUCUGGGGCUUUCCUGACGCUGAGGAGCGAAAGCGUGGGGAGCGAACAGGCUUAGAUACCCUGGUAGUCCACGCUGUAAACGGUGGGUACUAGGUGUGGGGUCCAUUCCCACGGGUUCCGUGCCGUAGCUAACGCUUUAAGUACCCCGCCUGGGGAGUACGGCCGCAAGGCUAAAGCUCAAAGGAAUUGACGGGGCCCCGCACAAGCGGCGGAGCAUGCGGAUUAAUUCGAUGCAACGCGUAGAACCUUACCUGGGUUUGACAUGGAUCGGGAGUGCUCAGAGAUGGGUGUGCCUCUUUUGGGGUCGGUUCACAGGUGGUGCAUGGCUGUCGUCAGCUCGUGUCGUGAGAUGUUGGGUUAAGUCCCGCAACGAGCGCAACCCUUGUUCACUGUUGCCAGCACGUUAUGGUGGGGACUCAGUGGAGACCGCCGGGGUCAACUCGGAGGAAGGUGGGGAUGACGUCAAGUCAUCAUGCCCCUUAUGUCCAGGGCUUCACGCAUGCUACAAUGGCUGGUACAGAGAGUGGCGAGCCUGUGAGGGUGAGCGAAUCUCGGAAAGCCGGUCUCAGUUCGGAUUGGGGUCUGCAACUCGACCUCAUGAAGUCGGAGUCGCUAGUAAUCGCAGAUCAGCAACGCUGCGGUGAAUACGUUCCCGGGGCU
RNAcentral lists this ribosomal RNA (1347 nucleotides) under uncultured bacterium. RNAcentral's name for it is "partial 16S ribosomal RNA". It matches the Rfam family "Bacterial small subunit ribosomal RNA", at positions 28 to 1381 of the family's 1533-position model. The record is from RNAcentral.